GACGGGGGCCCGCACAAGCGGUGGAGCAUGUGGUUUAAUUCGAUGAUACGCGAGGAACCUUACCUGGGCUUAAAUGGGAGUGACAGCUGUCGAAAGAUGGUUUUCUUCGGACACUCUUCAAGGUGCUGCAUGGUUGUCGUCAGCUCGUGCCGUGAGGUGUCGGGUUAAGUCCCAUAACGAGCGCAACCCUUACCGUUAGUUACCAUCAGGUUAAGCUGGGGACUCUAGCGGGACUGCCACCGUAAGGUGAGAGGAAGGUGGGGAUGACGUCAAAUCAGCACGGCCCUUAUGUCCAGGGCUACACACGUGUUACAAUGGCCGGUACAAAGGGCAGCUACUUCGCGAGAAGAUGCUAAUCUCGAAAGCCGGUCUCAGUUCGGAUCGAAGUCUGCAACCCGACUUCGUGAAGCUGGAUUCGCUAGUAAUCGCGCAUCAGCCAUGGCGCGGUGAAUACGUUCCCGGGCCUU
This 467-nucleotide ribosomal RNA is filed under the name uncultured Sphingobacteriales bacterium. RNAcentral's name for it is "bacterial SSU rRNA". It matches the Rfam family "Bacterial small subunit ribosomal RNA", at positions 912 to 1382 of the family's 1533-position model. The record is from RNAcentral. Lineage: Bacteria; Pseudomonadati; Bacteroidota; Sphingobacteriia; Sphingobacteriales.